This 952-nucleotide long non-coding RNA is filed under the name Scleropages formosus (Asian bonytongue). RNAcentral describes it as "lncRNA (ENSSFOG00015032401.1)". Lineage: Eukaryota; Metazoa; Chordata; Actinopteri; Osteoglossiformes; Osteoglossidae. The record is from RNAcentral.
GAGCGCGAGCCGUACCAGCUACAGCAGGCUGCCCGAACCCCAUGCUGGUUUGCUUUGGAGAGCGGAGAGGCAAUCAAUGUGUGCUCACAAAAGGGGAAGAGCAUUCAGAGAGCCAACUGUUCCCUCAGGCCAUGGGGCAGGAGCGGGGACAGAUAUGAAAAUAAUGUGCUGCUAGAUGGAGACGGGAAUAAGCCAACCUGCACGCUCAAGCAAAAUAUGAACCCGGGCCUGCCUGCCUUCUGCCUGCGUGAACGCGGCGUUGCGGCUACCCGUUGUCGGCGCUUUGGCGCGCACCCCUUGCCGCUCAGCCGACUUGUGUCGAGGGUCAAAACACAAACCAGGGUUCUUUUGCACGGCCAUGCCUCCUCACAGCAGGCACCUGACGAUCCAGGGACCCUCGCCAGCCAAUUUACAUAAAGCGGGCUCCGUGUCUGACGUUGACUUGGCGACACAUGCAAACAGCGACUUAUCUUGAAAUGGAAAUCAGAGCCCUAAUGCAGGGAACCCGGGACGUGCUGCACCGGCUAAUGCUGACAGAGAUGAGUUUUUCCGCUCGUUGCGGUGAGCGAUGCUGCUGGGAGCUCUGCUUGAGUCGAGAGUCAGGUCAAUAAUCAGAGUGCACUGCAGCCAUUGCUCCAAAGCCACACUGAUCAAGAGCGCCGAAGCACCGAGGCUUCAUUUCCUUCAUUUCAGCACCAACUUGUGUCCUUAAUGAUGAGCGAAAGAAAUCAAAACAUUUUUCUGGUAUAUAACUGGGUAAUAGAACUGACUAAGUGUAGCAUGCUUUCUUAAUGAAAAAGAGCUGUUAUAUAACAAUAAUACUGUUAUAACUGAUGUAAUUAAUGAGCUUUGGCUGAUUAACUCUGUAUUUACACAAAACAUUAUGCAAUUGGUUGCAUAUUCAUACUGCAUGUGGCAAAAAGACAUUAUCAAAGGCUAAAUAAAAGCUGGU